UGUUGCAGCCCUUCGGGGCGUUUCCUCCCUGAACUUGGCCGCUCUCCGGAGCGGCCCCUUUUGUCAAGCAG
This is a non-coding RNA of Microvirga sp., 71 nucleotides long. The record is from Rfam. NCBI's taxonomy places the organism in Bacteria, Pseudomonadati, Pseudomonadota, Alphaproteobacteria, Hyphomicrobiales, Methylobacteriaceae.